UGGUGGUGGUGGCGGAGAGGGGAAACCUCAAAUCCUCGCGAAGCAAUUAGGGCUUAAUGAGACACUUCCUACACAUCUGGUUUCAAUCCUGGCGGCGUUUCGGGGACUCGCAGAGCUCGGGGAGGGAGGAAGGUGGGGGAAUCCCGGCCUCUUCCUCUCCCUCCUCCCCUGGGGAUGCUCCCAAUGAUCCCAAAAUCCCAAAACCUCUGCGGGUUGUUCGGUGCUGAUGCGCUGCCAGUUGAUGGAGCCGCUUUUGAGAGAGGCUGUAACGCGCCUAAUUAGUGUGUAAUUAACCCAAAGCGUGCCCCAGACUUCAGAAAAUUCCUGAACUCAUUGCCAACCGCGAGGGAAAAAAA
Molecule: long non-coding RNA, 356 nt
Organism: Ficedula albicollis (Collared flycatcher)
Lineage: Eukaryota; Metazoa; Chordata; Aves; Passeriformes; Muscicapidae
Exons: 2
Source: RefSeq, a predicted model, not a curated record